GGUUAAGCGACUAAGCGUACACGGUGGAUGCCCUGGCAGUCAGAGGCGAUGAAGGACGUGCUAAUCUGCGAUAAGCGUCGGUGAGGUGAUAUGAACCGUUAUAACCGGCGAUUUCCGAAUGGGGAAACCCAGUGUGUUUCGACACACUAUCAUUAACUGAAUCCAUAGGUUAAUGAGGCGAACCGGGGGAACUGAAACAUCUAAGUACCCCGAGGAAAAGAAAUCAACCGAGAUUCCCCCAGUAGCGGCGAGCGAACGGGGAGGAGCCCAGAGCCUGAAUCAGUGUGUGUGUUAGUGGAAGCGUCUGGAAAGGCGUGCGAUACAGGGUGACAGCCCCGUACACAAAAAUGCACAUAUUGUGAGCUCGAUGAGUAGGGCGGGACACGUGGUAUCCUGUCUGAAUAUGGGGGGACCAUCCUCCAAGGCUAAAUACUCCUGACUGACCGAUAGUGAACCAGUACCGUGAGGGAAAGGCGAAAAGAACCCCGGCGAGGGGAGUGAAAAAGAACCUGAAACCGUGUACGUACAAGCAGUGGGAGCCUCUUAAUGGGGUGACUGCGUACCUUUUGUAUAAUGGGUCAGCGACUUAUAUUCUGUAGCAAGGUUAACCGAAUAGGGGAGCCGAAGGGAAACCGAGUCUUAACUGGGCGUUAAGUUGCAGGGUAUAGACCCGAAACCCGGUGAUCUAGCCAUGGGCAGGUUGAAGGUUGGGUAACACUAACUGGAGGACCGAACCGACUAAUGUUGAAAAAUUAGCGGAUGACUUGUGGCUGGGGGUGAAAGGCCAAUCAAACCGGGAGAUAGCUGGUUCUCCCCGAAAGCUAUUUAGGUAGCGCCUCGUGAAUUCAUCUCCGGGGGUAGAGCACUGUUUCGGCAAGGGGGUCAUCCCGACUUACCAACCCGAUGCAAACUGCGAAUACCGGAGAAUGUUAUCACGGGAGACACACGGCGGGUGCUAACGUCCGUCGUGAAGAGGGAAACAACCCAGACCGCCAGCUAAGGUCCCAAAGUCAUGGUUAAGUGGGAAACGAUGUGGGAAGGCCCAGACAGCCAGGAUGUUGGCUUAGAAGCAGCCAUCAUUUAAAGAAAGCGUAAUAGCUCACUGGUCGAGUCGGCCUGCGCGGAAGAUGUAACGGGGCUAAACCAUGCACCGAAGCUGCGGCAGCGACACUAUGUGUUGUUGGGUAGGGGAGCGUUCUGUAAGCCUGUGAAGGUGGCCUGUGAGGGUUGCUGGAGGUAUCAGAAGUGCGAAUGCUGACAUAAGUAACGAUAAAGCGGGUGAAAAGCCCGCUCGCCGGAAGACCAAGGGUUCCUGUCCAACGUUAAUCGGGGCAGGGUGAGUCGACCCCUAAGGCGAGGCCGAAAGGCGUAGUCGAUGGGAAACAGGUUAAUAUUCCUGUACUUGGUGUUACUGCGAAGGGGGGACGGAGAAGGCUAUGUUGGCCGGGCGACGGUUGUCCCGGUUUAAGCGUGUAGGCUGGUUUUCCAGGCAAAUCCGGAAAACCAAGGCUGAGGCGUGAUGACGAGGCACUACGGUGCUGAAGCGACAAAUGCCCUGCUUCCAGGAAAAGCCUCUAAGCAUCAGGUAACAUCAAAUCGUACCCAAAACCGACACAGGUGGUCAGGUAGAGAAUACCAAGGCGCUUGAGAGAACUCGGGUGAAGGAACUAGGCAAAAUGGUGCCGUAACUUCGGGAGAAGGCACGCUGAUAUGUAGGUGAAGCGACUUGCUCGUGGAGCUGAAAUCAGUCGAAGAUACCAGCUGGCUGCAACUGUUUAUUAAAAACACAGCACUGUGCAAACACGAAA
This 1808-nucleotide ribosomal RNA is filed under the name Escherichia coli. RNAcentral describes it as "partial 23S ribosomal RNA". It matches the Rfam family "Bacterial large subunit ribosomal RNA", at positions 1 to 1836 of the family's 2925-position model. Lineage: Bacteria; Pseudomonadati; Pseudomonadota; Gammaproteobacteria; Enterobacterales; Enterobacteriaceae. The record is from RNAcentral.